RNAcentral lists this ribosomal RNA (429 nucleotides) under Acidobacteriota bacterium. RNAcentral's name for it is "Acidobacteria bacterium partial 16S ribosomal RNA". It matches the Rfam family "Bacterial small subunit ribosomal RNA", at positions 355 to 776 of the family's 1533-position model. The record is from RNAcentral. Lineage: Bacteria; Pseudomonadati; Acidobacteriota.
UGGGGAAUUUUGGACAAUGGGGGAAACCCUGAUCCAGCCAUCCCGCGUGUGCGAUGAAGGCCUUCGGGUUGUAAAGCACUUUUGGCAUGAAAGAAACGUCAUGGGUUAAUACCCCGUGAAACUGACGGUACCUGCAGAAUAAGCACCGGCUAACUACGUGCCAGCAGCCGCGGUAAUACGUAGGGUGCAAGCGUUAAUCGGAAUUACUGGGCGUAAAGCGUGCGCAGGCGGUUCGGAAAGAAAGAUGUGAAAUCCCAGAGCUCAACUUUGGAACUGCAUUUUUAACUACCGGGCUAGAGUGUGUCAGAGGGAGGUGGAAUUCCGCGUGUAGCAGUGAAAUGCGUAGAUAUGCGGAGGAACACCGAUGGCGAAGGCAGCCUCCUGGGAUAACACUGACGCUCAUGCACGAAAGCGUGGGGAGCAAACAGG